Long non-coding RNA from Mya arenaria, 1531 nucleotides. RefSeq lists it as uncharacterized. The transcript is spliced from 4 exons. The record is from RefSeq and is a predicted model, not a curated record. Lineage: Eukaryota; Metazoa; Mollusca; Bivalvia; Myida; Myidae.
CCAUCUUUACCCACACACACAGCAGCGAUAACUGUUUACAACCGGACAUUUUAUUGAAGUUUUAAGACUUAUUUGUGAAAAUGGUUAAACGAUGCGGAUGGGGAAUAUGUUAUGCGGAUGAAAGGUAUCCGGAGGGACAAAAUGGAGGCCGAUUUAAACGAUUUCCGACCUAUAAUCCGACUUUGAGAAGUGCAAAUGCUGGAUUAAAGCCUGUGGACGGCCACACGAGAAACUGAAUUUUAACAGGAUAAACCAGCACGAAGAUGUCUGCUCGAAGCACUUUCAUGGAUGAAAUGGACCAUCUAAAGAGUAUCCUGACCCAUUAUCAGCUGAUGGCUGGAGAAUAAAAUCUUCAAGAAAACUCCCCACAAAGCGGUCACUUGGAAAGGAAACUUAUGGCAGCAUUUAUACACAAAAUGCACAAGUAGAAAAGCUGGUCCAGGAUCCUGCAGACACUGUACCAGAAGUAGAAACACAGACCGAAUGUCCAUGGACAUCACCUUUGGAUAUGUUUGCUCAGAAUGCUUCCCUAAAAGAAUAGUUGUCACAAAAAGAAGUCCAAGUUGAAGAAUUACAGUUUGCACUUUAACCCUUUACUUCAUGUAAACCUAAGCCAUUUCAGGCUGCCAGUUCAUGGCUUAUCAGUUCAUAUCAGUACCCCUACUUCAUAGGAGAUUAUUGAUAUUAUUGGAAUUUUAACCCUAAUGUAUUACAAACCUAUUUUCUUAGUAUUUCUUUUGGUUUAAUCAAUAAGUCAUCAAUGUAAAGUUUAUAGAGAAUUAAAUUUCCAAUCCAGUCAUAUAAAUUUUAUUUUGUUAUCUAAAUUAUUUCCGCAUGAUAUUCAUAAACAAACAGAAAAAUAUGUCAAAUUUGAUGAAAAUUAAUUUUUAUUACACUUUUAUUUAUCAAACAUAACACGAAAUAUUAUAUAAACAACAUAUUUUUAUAAUUCAUUUAAUGCAACCUGAAUUGAAACAAAGAUGGACAGAAUUAAAAAAUAGUUCACAACAAAGAAGCACGGUAUAUUUAUAUAUAUGAUACAGAAGAAAAAAAAAGUUGAUCAACAGUCACAGUACUUAUAACUUUCGGUUAUUUAACACUACAAUGAACAAAUAAAGUUAUUAUUCAACUACUACAUGAGGCCUGCAUGCUAUUGUUUACUAAAUUUAUAUCGUUUAUUGCAUGUCCAUGUAUUGUCAUUUGGGUUUGAUUUUAAAAAUCCUCAUUGCUCGUAUCCUUGUGUGCGUGACGCCGAGGUCUGAAUUCUCGACGUCGUACUCAAUGUCUCAAACUCAUUUUAAUUGAAGCCAGAAUGUUCCGAUUCAUCAGACAAACACUGAAAUAUAAAUGACAUUAUUCAGGAAUGUUGUUUUAAACUGAAGUUAACAAGGGCAGAAAUUAGCUCUUCAUUGCAUUCUUGUGUAUUCGAAAACACGUGUUUCAACAGCUGAUCGAUGUUAAAUUGGGUCAUGUCAAAGUUUAACAAUAGGGAUAGUCAUUAUUUUAUAACACAUUUGUACUUACUUUCAAU